Molecule: ribosomal RNA, 549 nt
Filed under: uncultured bacterium
Lineage: Bacteria
Description: bacterial SSU rRNA
Rfam family: Bacterial small subunit ribosomal RNA
Source: RNAcentral
GGGGAAUCUUCCGCAAUGGACGAAAGUCUGACGGAGCAACGCCGCGUGAGUGAUGACGGCCUUCGGGUUGUAAAGCUCUGUUAAUCGGGACGAAAGGUCCUCUUGCGAAUAGUUAGAGGAAUUGACGGUACCGGAAUAGAAAGCCACGGCUAACUACGUGCCAGCAGCCGCGGUAAUACGUAGGUGGCAAGCGUUGUCCGGAAUUAUUGGGCGUAAAGCGCGCGCAGGCGGAUCAGUUAGUCUGUCUUAAAAGUUCGGGGCUUAACCCCGUGAUGGGAUGGAAACUGCCAAUCUAGAGUAUCGGAGAGGAAAGUGGAAUUCCUAGUGUAGCGGUGAAAUGCGUAGAUAUUAGGAAGAACACCAGUGGCGAAGGCGACUUUCUGGACGAAAACUGACGCUGAGGCGCGAAAGCCAGGGGAGCGAACGGGAUUAGAUACCCCGGUAGUCCUGGCCGUAAACGAUGGGUACUAGGUGUAGGAGGUAUCGACCCCUUCUGUGCCGGAGUUAACGCAAUAAGUACCCCGCCUGGGGAGUACGACCGCAAGGUUG